GAUGAACGCUGGCGGCGUGCCUAAUACAUGCAAGUCGAGCGAGCGGACGAGAAGCUUGCUUCUCUGAUGUUAGCGGCGGACGGGUGAGUAACACGUGGAUAACCUACCUAUAAGACUGGGAUAACUUCGGGAAACCGUAGCUAAUACCGGAUAAUAUUUUGAACCGCAUGGUUCAAAAGUGAAAGACGGUCUUGCUGUCACUUAUAGAUGGAUCCGCGCUGCAUUAGCUAGUUGGUAAGGUAACGGCUUACCAAGGCAACGAUGCAUAGCCGACCUGAGAGGGGGGUGGCCCAAACGGGACCUGGACAACGGUCCGGCCCCCAAGGGGGGGCAGCGGGGGGGAAUUUCCCGAAUGGGGGGAAGGCCUGAGGGGGCAACGCCGGUGGGGUGUGAAGGUUUUCCGGACCGAAAAACUCUUUUUUUGGGGAAAAAAAAUUUGUAAGGUAACGGGCCCAAUUUUGACGGUACCAAUUCAAAAAGCCCGGGCAAACUACGG
This 496-nucleotide ribosomal RNA is filed under the name uncultured bacterium. RNAcentral's name for it is "partial 16S ribosomal RNA". It matches the Rfam family "Bacterial small subunit ribosomal RNA", at positions 28 to 506 of the family's 1533-position model. The record is from RNAcentral.